RNAcentral lists this ribosomal RNA (138 nucleotides) under uncultured bacterium. Its description in RNAcentral is "partial 16S ribosomal RNA". It matches the Rfam family "Bacterial small subunit ribosomal RNA", at positions 355 to 509 of the family's 1533-position model. The record is from RNAcentral.
UGGGGAAUAUUGGGCAAUGGGCGCAAGCCUGACCCAGCAACGCAGCGUGAAGGAAGAAGGCCUCGGGUUGUAAACUUCUUUUAUCAGGGACGAAGAAGUGACGGUACCUGAUGAAUAAGCCACGGCUAACUAAGUGCC